CAAAUGCCAUGCCUCAGUACGGCGAGUGAGCGGCAAAAGCUCAAAUUUGAAAUCUAGCACCUUCGGUGUUCGAGUUGUAAUUUGAAGAUGGUAACCUUGGGUUUGGCUCUUGUCUAUGUUCCUUGGAACAGGACGUCAUAGAGGGUGAGAAUCCCGUCUGAUGAGAUGCCCAUUCCUAUGUAAGGUGCUAUCGAAGAGUCGAGUUGUUUGGGAAUGCAGCUCUAAGUGGGUGGUAAAUUCCAUCUAAAGCUAAAUAUUGGCGAGAGACCGAUAGCGAACAAGUACAGUGAUGGAAAGAUGAAAAGAACUUUGAAAAGAGAGUGAAAAAGUACGUGAAAUUGUUGAAAGGGAAGGGCAUUAGAUCAGACUUGGUGUUUUACGAUUAUCUUCUCUUCUUGAGUUGUGCACUCGUAUUUCACUGGGCCAGCAUCGAUUCGGAUGGCAAGAUAAUGGCAGUUGAAUGUGGCUUCACUUCGGUGGAGUGUUAUAGCUUCUGCUGAUAUUGCCUGUCUGGAUCGAGGGCUGCGUCUUUUGACUAGGAUGCUGGCGUAAUGAUCUAAUGCCGCCCGUCUUGAAACACGGACCA
This 586-nucleotide ribosomal RNA is filed under the name Hansenula anomala. RNAcentral describes it as "LSU rRNA". It matches the Rfam family "Eukaryotic large subunit ribosomal RNA", at positions 66 to 668 of the family's 3401-position model. The record is from RNAcentral. Lineage: Eukaryota; Fungi; Ascomycota; Saccharomycetes; Phaffomycetales; Wickerhamomycetaceae.